Molecule: ribosomal RNA, 301 nt
Filed under: uncultured bacterium
Lineage: Bacteria
Description: partial 16S ribosomal RNA
Rfam family: Bacterial small subunit ribosomal RNA
Source: RNAcentral
CAGUAGCCGCGGGAAUACGAAGGGGGCUAGCGUUGUUCGGAUUAACUGGGCGUAAAGGGCGCGUAGGCGGGUCUUUAAGUCAGGGGUGAAAUCCCAAGGCUCAACCUUGGAACUGCCUUUGAUGCUGGAGAUCUUGAGUCCGGGAGAGGUGAAUGGAACUGCGAGUGUAGAGGUGAAAUUCGUAGAUAUUCGCAAGAACACAGUGGCGAAGGCGGCUCACUGGCCCGGUACUGACGCUGAGGCGCGAAAGCGUGGGGAGCAAACAGGAUUAGAGACCCCCGUAGUCCCUGUCUCUUAUACA